This 695-nucleotide long non-coding RNA is filed under the name Salvia miltiorrhiza (redroot sage). RNAcentral describes it as "long non-coding RNA (SMIL_LNC009759)". Lineage: Eukaryota; Viridiplantae; Streptophyta; Magnoliopsida; Lamiales; Lamiaceae. The record is from RNAcentral.
AGAAUUACACUUUUUAAAUUAUAUUUAAUAAGGUAUAUGCAUUUGUAAGUAUUUUUUUAAUUAUAAUUUCAUAAUUCAUUUUAGGAACGGCGCGCGAGACUUGAUCUUUUAAUUGCGAGUUUUGCUCAAGAAAGGUUAAGGUGGGGUUAUAACGUUGCAUUUAACAUUUAUCCUUAUUAUACGUUUUACUCAAUUUAUAUGUGUGAGAAGCAGGCAGAGCCUCCGGGCUAUGAGACAGAAAGUUAUAGCCUACGGGUUAUAUGAGACAGAAAGUUAUAGCCUACGGGUUAUAUGAGACAGAAAGUUAUAGCCUACGGGUUAUAUGAGAAAGAAAGUUAUAGCCUACGGGCUAUAUGAGACAGAAAGCUAUAGCCUACGGGUUAUAUGAGAAAGAAAGUUAUAGCCUACGGGUUAUAUGAGAAAGAAAGUUAUAGCCUACGGGCUAUAUGAGACAGAAAGUUAUAUAGCCUUCGGGCUAAGAGACAGAAAGUUAUUGCUUUCGGGCAAUAUGAAAGAGCAGACAAUGUUAUUUGCACUUAUAUUUUGUUGUGAUUCUUAUAAUAUGGAUAAAUGCACCCCACUGAGUUUAUUGUACUCACCCCAAAACAAUAUUAUUUUCAGGAGAUGGCUCGGGCGAUGCGAGGCAGGGCGAAUGGUGGUCAAGAUAAAAGAAGAAAUAAUAUUUUAUUUUCAAU